RNAcentral lists this long non-coding RNA (2004 nucleotides) under Canis lupus familiaris (dog). RNAcentral describes it as "lncRNA (ENSCAFG00030017290.1)". Lineage: Eukaryota; Metazoa; Chordata; Mammalia; Carnivora; Canidae. The record is from RNAcentral.
CAUUCUGAUACGGUGUGGCGGGCUGGGGUCCAGAGCCAUGGCCGAGAAAGAAUUCUUGAGGUGUCUUUGGUGCAAAACGGUGGUUUUAUGAAAGCCGAGGGACAGGACGUGUGGGCAGAGAGAGCUGCGCGGGGCUGGUGAGGGGAGGUGGAGGGAGGACAUACCUGGGAGUUGGAGGAAGUAAAGACAAAGAGGGGUUUCCAAUAGGACUUUCAUGUGCUAAAGAAUACUCAGCCGUUAGAAACGACAAAUACCCACCAUUUGCUUCGACAUGGAUGGACCUAUGGAUGGACCUGGAGGGUAUGAUGCUGAGUGAAGUAAGUCAAUCGGAGAAGGACAAACAUUGUAUGGUCUCAUUUAUUUGGGGAAUAUAAAAAAUAGUGAAAGGGAAUAAAGGGGAAAGGAGAAAAAAAUGAGUGGGAAAUAUCAGAGAGGGAGACAGAACAUGAGAGACUCCUGACUCUGGGAAACGAACUAGGGGUGGUGGAAGGGGAGGUGGGUGGGGGGUGGGGGGACUGGGUGAUGGGCACUGAGGGGGGCACUUGGCGGGAUGAGCACUGGGUGUUAUUCUAUAUGUUGGUAAAUUGAAUUUAAAUUUAAAAAUGUAAAAAAAAAAAAAAAAAAAAGGCAGCUGGGAGUUUCCUGGAGGGACUUUUACUCUGCCUGCCUCAAGUAUGUGUCAAUGGGCUGCAGGUUAUAAGGACGUUUAACUGUGUCUACACUUCCUUCUACCUUAGCUUCCUGCAUCAACUUGACUUCUGCUUGGACACUGCCAGGGAUGGGGACAUCACCACCUAGCACGGGAGGUACCUGGCCUGUCUGUGGCAGCUCCAGCAGGCUGAGAGGCCCAGGAGCUCCCGGGCCUGCAAGGCAGGCAGGAACCCAGAGCCGUGCGACGAGGAAAACGCCUCAUUUUCAGAAGAAGACUCCAAUCUGAGCCAGGAAUCUGGAGUCUGAAAUGACCCCCCUGCCCACCCUCAGUCCCCGGCCUCCCCUGCGCCCCCUCCUAGCCCAGGGCUAUUCACAAAGGGACGUGAAAAGGGGUGAGCAGGGAAAGACGCCUCCCCUGUUGGAUCCCCCUGAUGUAUGGACAGGAGAGGAAGCACCUCUUCUCACCCGGAAGCAGACAAAUAAUACAGACGGUCCAGGGACCUUAAACUUGAAUCAUCAUUAUGUCUGUGGACGUAGACACGGAUGGGAAGACUCGGGCGGUGGAGUCGACGACAUCAGUUUGCUUCCCUCCAGGGCCGUGUCCCCCCAGGCUUGGCCUUUCCAUUGUACCGAGCAUGGCCCGUGUGGCUUGGCCCAGCCUUGUGGGGGGAGGUGGGUCACCAUGACAAUGUGUCCUGAGGGGCCCUGUCCCUGAGGAUGAAGGCAUAAGAGCCGGCUACUGCUGCCCCUGUCUGCUUCACGGCUCACCUGCCGCACCUCUGUGCCGUCACGCCAUGAACGGACGACUCAGCUUGAAAAAUCAUGAAGAAUCAGCUUUCUUGAAGAGCCGCUGGGUCUGACUGCACCUGCCCAGAAGGAGAGGAAAGCAGCCCGGGGACAAAGCCCAAAGGCAGGGCGCGUGGGUGGUGAGCGCAGAGGUGAGGCAAGCCAAGAGGUAAGCAAACCUGCCUGAGAAGCUCUCGCCUCACUCAGGUCAGGUGCGAGGGCCUCGCUCACCCCCUACGGGGCCCAGAGCACUCAUAAUCCUGAAGAUCUCUUGAAUUUCUCCAGAUGUUCAAUUGGCUUGACAUAGAAAAUAAAUAAAGAAAAAAGAAAAAGCUCAGUGAUGCCGACGUCUCAUCCUGAGAGCCCAGCUAUUUUACUGGCAGUCACAUGUGUAUGGCCGGGAGCGGAUGCUGAGCAGCACAUCAGCGGGCUCGCAAGCAUGAGGCACGCCAUGUGCUCAGCUGCACCCGAGCCCGGGCUGGACGUGUGUGUCGGGGAGGACGGGAGACCGCGUGUGGAAGGGCCUGUGCGAGCAGAGGCAGUGGGGGCGCGUGGGGAUCUGUCUCG